Felis catus (domestic cat) is the source of this 1522-nucleotide long non-coding RNA. RefSeq lists it as uncharacterized. The record is from RefSeq and is a predicted model, not a curated record. The transcript has 3 exons. NCBI's taxonomy places the organism in Eukaryota, Metazoa, Chordata, Mammalia, Carnivora, Felidae.
CUCUCCUCCUGGGGGCACCGGCCCGUCGGAGCUGACCCCCACUGCCCUCCCCACGGGGUGGGUAGGGGCAGCCAGUCUGCAAGGGCCUCCUCGGGCCAUCCGUGGGCCUGGUUUCUCCAAACUCAGCCACCACAGUCCCCACGGCCUCAGGGCCUUGGCGCCCCCCGUUCCCCCUACCCAGCUUCGAGCACCCACUCCCUCCGUCCCUCGCCCAGAUGGAGGGCACGACCUCCCUCCCCUGGGACUCGGACACAUCCCCUGUCUCAGCAUUGCACAGUACCCGCUCUAUCCUGGGUCAUGAAGUUUGUUUGCAGCCCCACAGGGCCCUGUAAGCCGAGCACCCCAUGUGGGCAGCACUCUGCCCCAGCGCCAGCGGCCCCACAGCACACCCCCCAGGAACAGCUCACCUGCCCUUGGGGCAGCGAAGACGCCUCUUCCCAAUGCGCCUGCAUGUCCUCCAGCAGCCCCAGCAGGCGCCCGGUCAGCCCCGUCCGGAGGGCGAGGCUACCUCCUCGGAUCGGUGCUCGAACUGCAGGAGACGACUGAGCAGCAGCAUGUAGGACAGGAAGCCCGCCCGCCCGCGCUGGCUCAUGCCCGUGUCCCUCUGGAAUGCAGGAGCCACCCGUCACCAGCCCUGCCCAAGCCCGUGGGCAGGGGUGCACGGCCAAGACGCAGGGCGGGGGACCCCCACGGCUCCCCACCUGUGUGGUGAUCAGCUUGAGGACCAGCUGGCAGUCUCCUUGAACGCGGGAGGCGCUGGAGCGUGGUUCCAGCUUGAACCAGCGGUCUUCACCCGCCACGGGCACCUCCUGAAAGGAAAGGGUUCACACCGGCCGUCCCCCCUCCAGCUCCCUCCCACGGACUCUCUGUGGGACCGAGAGGAGAACACACAGCUCUGCUGGCCCCGGAGACGAGUGGUCAGCACCGAGUGAGCCCUCAGGGGUGCCCGGACACCCAGGAAGCUGUUCCUUCCCCCUCCCCUGCAGCUCAAGGCCCCACCAGCCCAAGAAGACCAGGAGAUGCUUGGGGGAGUCGCAGGGCAGACCCACCAGCAGUAUCCCCGGAGGAUGAGACCCCACAAACAGGCGGUCCGUGAGCGGAGCCCCGGCCCCUACUCACCCGGACGGGUGCACCCACACCCGCUGCCCUGCAGGGACCAGGGGCGUCUACCAGAUAUCCAGGUGCAGCUGGUCCGUGCUGACAUCCUCGAUCUCACUGUAAGGAAAACGGAGAGAAGCCCAGAGGGUGGAGGACCAUCCCCUGCCCAGGGCGAGGGCAGGGACAAUUUCAGGAGCUGCGGGCAGGGGUCCACGAGCUAGAGCUCUCAGGACAGGCCGCCCGGAUUUGGAUCCUGACUGUGUGGCCCCCGGGGCAUGGCACCUCUCUCUGAGGCGAUUUCCUCCUCUGGACAGUGGUCACGUGAACAGCCCCCACUCGGGUCCCCGGGGCAGGCACAGUGUGGCAGCCACCGGCCUGCGUCCUCAGGACAUGCUCUGGCCCAGCAGGCAGCACCCCCCCCCAC